Molecule: long non-coding RNA, 2816 nt
Filed under: Homo sapiens (human)
Lineage: Eukaryota; Metazoa; Chordata; Mammalia; Primates; Hominidae
Description: PREDICTED lncRNA (TCONS_00005063)
Source: RNAcentral
AAGAGUAAAGUACUUCCGCUUCCUUAGGUGGAGCUGGAAAGGUGGAGGCGGAAGUGACUGAUCAAUUCAGGGGCGUGGGGUUCGUUUAGGUUUUGCCCUGUGUAUGACCUCGUUUGGAGCCAUGAAACCAGGUCUGUGAAAUUUAGUGUCUAUUUUCUACCAUAACACAUGUUAAUUUGGACUAACCACAUUUCGAGUGCUCAGUAGCCACAUGUGGCUAGCGACUACUAUCUUGAGCAAUGCAACGAUAAGUCUGCACUUACGUUCAAAAAGACUUAAAGCAGGGAUCGACAACCCCCAGGCCACAGACUGGUAUGGAUCCAUGGCCUGUUAAGAACUGUGCCACACAGCAGGAGGUCACCAUGUGUGAUGACUACAUCCAAAGAGAGUGAGUGGCUUGAGACAUUGGUAGUAUGUGUAUCUGAUCAUAUCAAUAUGUUAAAAUGACGUUCAAAGUAUGAUCUACCUCAGAAUAAUCUAGCCUCAAGCUUUAUUCUAGGAAGAUACAAGGGACAGAAUAGUUAGCAGUGUUCCUGUUGAAAGGUCCAAGUAUCUCCCUAGGCACAGAAAACACCCAAAUGAGCAAAGCAGACCUUGGUGGCCAGAGGGGAGCCCUCAGGUAGAGCUGCAGAUGCUGGCAGUUUGUGUUAGAAGGUUCCGGGGCUAAACAGAUGCCUAGAAUUAGCCACCAAAAGGUAAAUUGUAGACUCCACUCUUCAAGAAGCAGCAGAAGGAUUAGGAAUUCAAACAGUGCUAUUUUACGGUCAUAAGAACAGACAGUAUUUUUUUGGCGCAGCAAGAACUUCUUAGGCCAUAAAGCAUGACAGACCUCUUUUCCUUAUGCGCUGAAUUGAAGAAGUGCUGACUCUUUUGCUGAUGGUGGCUUUUCUACAAUAUAAAGAUGGAAAUGGGAAGAAGAUGUUCAUUGCAAAUUAAGGAAGCUCUUCCACGAGUUCACGAAUGGAAAUAACAUCAAGAGUUUUUCAUCUUCUUAGUGUGCAAGGUAUGGAUAUUCUGUGUGUGAACUUCAAGAGUAUCUAAGGGAGGCAAUAACAUGGUUGAUAAUAUACCAGAGACUACAAACUGUCUGUGCAUCCCAGAGGAACAGGAAGCUUGUGCAGGUGAAAAGACUGGAGGAGGAAGUAUGUUGAUGAUACCCAGGAAGCCCACCUUCCACUUCUUUGGUCAUCAGAAAUAAAUAUCAAGGAGUGCAAUUCCUGGAUUUAUGAUGUCUGAGGAAUAGUCUUAGUGGAUUAUCCCAAACUUGACACAUUUUUUGCAAAAUGCUAUACAAAAAGAAGAUACAUGCGAUUAUGACAAGAUUCUCCACUUGGUGUGACCAGUCUCAUACAACCCAAGGCUGUGUGUCCAAAGGCAACUGUACUGAUCUUGACAAUAAUCAAAAGGUAGCCAGGUGCAUCGGGGAAAGCACUGACAUUGGAGUCAGACAGACUGAAGUUCAUAUCUGAUUCUGCUAUAUGACAACGUGUGGGCUAUGUGGCUAACUUCUCAGAGCUUCAGUUUUCUCAAGGGCAAAAUGAAAAUAAUAGAAAUAAUAGAAUCCACCUCACAGGGCUGUGGUGAGAAUUGGAGAUGAAGCACAUACAGCAUAUUACAUCAACUAAACACAUGCUAAAAAUUAAAGGGGAUGAAAGAUACAUUGGUCCCUGCAGUGGGAAGUUUCCUUGACAAUGCAAUUAUUGAUUCCAGAAGGCUGAACAAAUGUUGACAGAGGAACACACUGUUUGCUUAUGUCUAAUCUUCCCAUCUGACUUAUAUAAAUGUCACAAAUGAAUCUCAGACAUGUGCCCAAUAUCAAAUAUCCAUACGAUGGCCCUGGAAAGAGGCAAUCUACAUUUAUGGCUGAUGAGAAGAUGGAUUUUUAGCUUGAAAGAAACUUAUUACUGGGGAGAGGAAGUAUAAAUGAAUGGAGAGAGCUAUGAAGAGGUUGAGAGAAUACAGCCAAGGCACAUGACAGAAUUGCUCUGUUGAAGUUUUGCAAGGUCAAAUGACUCACUUUGUCUAAUGGAACGGGAACGAACAAUUUUUUUGUGUCACGUUUGAACAGAUACCUUUGAGAAGUUUAUGAUUCUCCAAGUUCUCUUUCUCCUACUGUGGCACCUACUGACAAGAUAAAUGUGUAGAGGUUCCUGAGUCUAGGGGCACUGGAACCAGCUGACUGAUCUAUGGAAGUUCCCUUGGUCUCCAUUUGUUUAGAAAAGGGAUGAAGAAACUGAGGCCCACAGAAGGUGGGUGAUACCUGCAAAAUCACAAGCUUUCAUGGUGAAAGAAGAGGGCAAAACUCAACCCGUCUCUUUAGACUUGGGAAGAAUAUGAAAGGACCAGGAGGGACACCUUUCCUAAUAACCUAGCUGAUGGUUCACUUAUUAGGCUGGAAAGCUGAAAAAUGACAUUCCCAGACUCCAUUGAAAUUAGAUUUCCAGAGGUGAUUUAUGUUCCACACAUCAGAUGUAUAUGCUCAAGAUUUGUUUAACAGGGAAGGAGGCAGUGGUGUGUGGGUCCCUUUUGCUCAUGUGAAUCUUACAGAGUUGUCUCACUAAGCCCAAAUUUGUCUAACUGGCCUUAUUUCCCUGGAGUAUAUCCUGGAAGUUUCCAUUCAAGCCAAUUUAAGUUACUUUAAAUUAGGAAAGGCAGAAAACAAAAGCCCAAACCUUUGUAAAGGAGGAGGAUUUGCUACAUUGUUCUCAAUUCAUCACAGAAGAGGAUGAAACUGAGUGAUUACACUUGCUGGAGAGAAAAAAAGUCCUUCCCCCGCUCACCCCAAAUAAAGCAUUAACUUUAUGUUAAUCCAUGAA